RNAcentral lists this unclassified non-coding RNA (198 nucleotides) under uncultured fungus. RNAcentral's name for it is "partial contains 18S rRNA, ITS1 and 5.8S rRNA". Lineage: Eukaryota; Fungi. The record is from RNAcentral.
AGGUGAACCUGCGGAAGGAUCAUUACCUAGAGUUUGUAGACUUCGGUCUGCUACCUCUUACCCAUGUCUUUUGAGUACCUUCGUUUCCUCGGCGGGUCCGCCCGCCGAUUGGACAACAUUCAAACCCUUUGCAGUUGCAAUCAGCGUCUGAAAAAACAUAAUAGUUACAACUUUCAACAACGGAUCUCUUGGUUCUGG